GCUCCAUUACAAUCUUAAGGGACCACUGUCAUCUAUGUAAUCUGUCAUUAUUGAAAUGUUAUACAGUACAUGACUAUUGUUAGAGUUCUCUAGGGAAAAUUGGACUAAAAAUUUUUCAUCUUUUUAAUAUUAAAAAUCCAAAUUUGAAAUCAAGCUUUAAAAAUUGUUAUCCAUAUACUGAUACCCAUAUAUUGUUACUCAGAUAAACAAAUUAUUUUCAUUUGACAAAUUUAAAACAAGUGAAUAAAAUUUGAGGUUGAUAGCUUGCAAUUACAUUGAUUUUCAUUUUCUUUCUUUGGUAUUAUUCAAAGUGACAAUGCUUAGAUAAAUGUCACUUCAUCAACAACAGUUUUGCAACAGAGAGAUUGCAGCAGAGAGAUAUAUGGAAGGAAUGUGUGAAAAGCGUUUUCAGAGGAGCAGAUGAAAGGCUUUGCAAACUAUUGGGGUGGUCAGCCGUCACACUUGCCUCUAAGUCCCCAUGAACUUGUGUAGUGCUUGACUUCAGUAAGAGGGAAAAAUGUGGAGGUGGACAGUGGUUUAUAUAUGAUGCAGGAAAGAUACAAGGAGAUGACAGUUAGUCAAACACAAAAUGUUCUGACAGGUGUAUAGUAGACUCAAGAAUAAAUAAUAAAAUGACAGUGAUUAAAAUGUGUUUACUUAAGUGAACAAUGGCUUGAAAUAUGGCUACACGGUAAAGACCUCAUUAUCGACCAUACUUGGCACAUAAAUAUAACACUUAUGUUGAGGGGUAAUUAAUUUGCUCUUACAGGUGAAGUGAUGGGUCACUUGUGGCCCAGCCUCACUUCUUUGCACUGGACAAGUUAAAUCCUGAAACAGACAUUCUCUGAUAGCAUUUAAAAAUCUUCCAAGCCAGACACUCAUUUUAGAAGCUGUUAGGUAGUUGUAAUUUGGAGUGUAUAAGCAGAAAGCCUACGUGUGAGGACAGAUGACAGAGUGAGGAACUGUAGACAGAAUGUGCCCUUGGGUGUUACUGAAGCAAGAUGCCUUACUGCACAUUUUCUAUCUUCUAUUUCUGAAAGUUAGUGUUCAAAGGCACCGUUACCUAAAACUUGCCAUAAAUAUCAUGCAGGGUAGUAAGCCUCACACUUCAGCAUGCAUCAGAAUUACCUGGAGGGCUUAUGAAAUCACAGGCAGGUGAUCUGCCCACCUCAGCCUCCCAAAGUGCUGGGAUUACAGGUGUGAGCCACCGUGCCCAGCCUGUUUUGUUUGUAUGUUCCCUCCUAAGCAAUAUACUUCUGCUAAAUUGGGGAGGCAUCUUUGGGGCUAAUCGCGGGAAUACAAUAUAUGGGUAAUAUAAAAUCAUUUAUAUGUGACAUGAAGCACCAAGCUCUUAUUCAUGAACUUUUUGGUUAUGUUAAAAAUCAUGGAGUUUCAAAGGCUACAAGGUCUUGGUCAUAUCAGAGCAAAAGGAAUGAUUCUUGAAGAGCAUAAAGUAUUUUACCAUUUUUCUCUCCCUCUUCUCAUUAUCAUACACCACUGCUACCCUUAGAGUCUCUCCUUUCAGGCUCCAAAUAUUGCAGAAACCUUCCCUGACUCAACUCUUUAUCAUGUGCAUUAACUUGGCCUGUUUCUUAUUCUUAAUUUAUUUUGUAAUAUCCUGUUAACUGACUGUAGAGCAGCAAAGAAAACUGCAAGGGCUGGUUCAGUGAUUAGCAGUCUCUUCUACUUAAUAGACUUUUUAAAAAACACACAGCCACACAACUAUUAUCACGUCUCAACGUUGAGAAAAUAUUCUAAAUGUUGGUGGAAAAAUUGAGUAUGCAAUUUGAUCUUGACUUCGGGCUGCACAGGUUUUAAAAUCAAAUUAUUACUUGAAUAUGCAUAUUCUCUAGCUCCACGCUUGAAGUCCUUCUACAUAAAUGUCAAUGCUUUGCCUAAGAGGCCGUGUUGUAGAAAGUUCUGAUGUCCUAAGAUGGCCUCUGAGCUCCUAUGAUGGUGGCUCUGCUUAUUCUCUGCCUAGUCUCACACUAUCGUGCCUUGCUCUCUGUACUGCAACCACACUGACCUGCUCUCAUCUCAAAUGUGGCAACCUUCGCAUUUGAUGCUGUUUCAUUUAUCUAGAACUUUACCAAGCCAUUUUCAAAUUCUUUAUAUCUUAGCUUCAACGUCACUUUCUCAGGUCAUCCUUCUCUGACCCUAUCCUUACCCAGCCUCCCCACCCAAGGACUGGGCUGUAUCAGCCCUAUCAUCUCUCCCAUGACAUUUAUCACAAUUACAAUCAGAUCAUGGCACACACAAAUACAGAAUUAAUGUGUGCCUUCUCUGCUAAACUAGAGGCUGUUGAAGGCAAGGGAAUUUACAGUCUAAUAGAGGACAAAUGGAUCAUUUCAAAUAGAGUCCAGUAAAAUAAACAGAUUGGAACAACACAGCGGUCAGAAAAACCAGAGUCUUCUGUCUCAGGUGUUCAUGUUUGAUCUGAGACCCAAGGAUGAGCAUGUGGAUGGUUUGCCUUGUGCAAACGGCUUAGGUUCUGAAACCAUAUGACACGUCCAAGCAAUUUCAACUGGUUUGGUGUAGCUGGGCAACUAGGAUGUAAAUUAUUAGAGAAGCGAAUUAAAAGGCAGUGAGAGGCACAAAAGCAAUGUGAACUUUUUUCUAGAGAUGUGUGGGAAUACUUAGUACAUUUUAAAACAGGAAACUAUGUUAUCAAAUGAGUAUUUUAAGAAGAGCACUUAGAAGCUGUGUUGUGAAUGGAUAGGAGGGAAGAGACCAGUUUGAAGGCUGUGGGAAUAGAGUGAGUGAUUUUUAAAAAAUUGCAUUAGAGCAGAGAUGGAAACAGAGGGACAAACUUCAGAUAUAAUUAAAGGAGGAAGCUCUUGGGGCUUAGUGAUGCAUCAGACAGAUGAAAGGGUGAAAGAGAAGAGGGGUAUAAGUCCACCUCUCGGUGACUAGGUACAUAGUGCAGCCAGAAUGCAGAUUCAGGAAGAGGUACAGAUUUUUGCGGGAACAAGAGAAGGAAUUCUGUUGUGGGGUUUUUGAAUUCAAGGUGGAUAUCUAGAUGAAUAUUUAAACUCUUGAGGAGGCGCGACCUUGAAAUGUUGAC
RNAcentral lists this long non-coding RNA (3064 nucleotides) under Homo sapiens (human). Its description in RNAcentral is "HSALNT0312049". Lineage: Eukaryota; Metazoa; Chordata; Mammalia; Primates; Hominidae. The record is from RNAcentral.